GGAAGACAGCCUACUGGGUUGUAAACCUCUUUUUUCAGGGAGGAAAAAAAUGACGUGUACCUGAAGAAUAAGCAUCGGCUAACUCCGUGCCAGCAGCCGCGGUAAGACGGAGGAUGCAAGUGUUAUCCGGAAUUACUGGGCGUAAAGCGUCUGUAGGUGGUUUAAUAAGUCAACUGUUAAAUCUUGAGGCUUAACUUCAAAACAGCAGUCGAAACUAUUAGACUAGAGUAUAGUAGGGGUAAAGGGAAUUUCCAGUGGAGCGGUGAAAUGCGUAGAUAUUGGAAAGAACACCGAUGGCGAAAGCACUUUACUGGGCUAUUACUAACACUCAGAGACGAAAGCUAGGGUAGCAAAUGGGAUUAGAUACCCCAGUAGUCCUAGCUGUAAACAAUGGAUACUAGAUGUUGAACAGAUCGACCUGUGCAGUAUUAAAGCUAACGCGUUAAGUAUCCCGCCUGGGAAGUAUGCUCGCAAGAGUGAAACUCAAAGGAAUUGACGG
Molecule: ribosomal RNA, 499 nt
Filed under: uncultured cyanobacterium
Lineage: Bacteria; Bacillati; Cyanobacteriota
Description: bacterial SSU rRNA
Rfam family: Bacterial small subunit ribosomal RNA
Source: RNAcentral